UACGAAGGGGGCUAGCGUUGCUCGGAAUUAUUGGGCGUAAAGGGUGCGUAGGCGGUCUAUUAAGUCUGGUUUGAAAGCCCAUGGCUUAACCAUGGAUUGAGAUUGGAAACUGAUAGACUUGAGGACAGGAGAGGAAGGUGGAAUUCCACGUGUAGCGGUGAAAUGCGUAGAGAUGUGGAGGAACACCAGUGGCGAAGGCGGCCUUCUGGCCUGUGACUGACGCUGAUGCACGAAAGCGUGGGUAGCAAACAGG
RNAcentral lists this ribosomal RNA (253 nucleotides) under uncultured bacterium. RNAcentral's name for it is "partial 16S ribosomal RNA". It matches the Rfam family "Bacterial small subunit ribosomal RNA", at positions 524 to 776 of the family's 1533-position model. The record is from RNAcentral.